CCUACGGGUGGCAGCAGUGAGGAAUAUUGGUCAAUGGCCGAGAGGCUGAACCAGCCAAGUCGCGUGAGGGAAGACGGCCCUACGGGUUGUAAACCUCUUUUGUCGGGGAGCAAAGCGAGUCACGUGUGACUCAUUGAGAGUACCCGAAGAAAAAGCAUCGGCUAACUCCGUGCCAGCAGCCGCGGUAAGACGGAGGAUGCGAGCGUUAGCCGGAUUUAUUGGGGUUAAAGGGUGCGCAGGCGGCGGUGCAAGUCCGCGGUCCAAUUGCGGGGCUCAACCCCGGACUGCCGUUGCAACUGCAUCCCUUGAUUGCGCGAGCACUAUGCGGUAUGCGUGGUGUAGCGGU
This 346-nucleotide ribosomal RNA is filed under the name uncultured bacterium. Its description in RNAcentral is "partial 16S ribosomal RNA". It matches the Rfam family "Bacterial small subunit ribosomal RNA", at positions 338 to 682 of the family's 1533-position model. The record is from RNAcentral.